CCAGCACAAAGGAGAACAUGGUCUUUGCUGGCUUCACAGAUGGCACAGUCAGGAUAUGGGACCUGCGGACUCAGGAAAUAGUCAGGUGCAGACACGGGGAAGGAGCACCACCAGCUGAGGACUGCAAGUCCUGCCAUCUUUCUUGCCUACAGCCCUCUCUGCUGGAGUGGCAGCCAUGCCACGCCCCCUCACUAGGGGAUUGUGGGUGGGACUCUACCCCCAGAUCAUCAUUGGGGGAUUCUAGGCAGGAGGCCUAUUCCUGACCACGCCCCCAGCCUGCUUUUUACCUUUAGGUUAGGGUGUGUCUGGUGUAGCCCAGGUUGUCCGCAAGCACAGAAAAUAACCUUAAACUCGUCUUGCCUUUGCCUCCC
This 371-nucleotide long non-coding RNA is filed under the name Rattus norvegicus (Norway rat). RNAcentral's name for it is "long non-coding RNA NONRATT025497". The record is from RNAcentral. Lineage: Eukaryota; Metazoa; Chordata; Mammalia; Rodentia; Muridae.